AUUUAUAUUGGCCUAUAGUAUCAUGUUGGUUUAGUUUUUAAUUAUACAUGGUAUUUGAGGAGUGUUAAGAGGAGAUAAAAUAGGUGUUUCUUUUUUUAAUAAAAAUUAGAACUUAAAAUAUAGUCCUUGUUAGUAUAGCUAUUAUUAGGUAUUUAGUUUCUUAACUCCAGUAAUUAAUAUUGACAAAAUAUAGAAAUAUAGAGUAAUUAAAUAAAUAAGAGAGAUGAAUAAUAAAGUGCCAGCAUUCGCGGUCAGUCUUUAUUCUCAAAUUAAUAGGUUCGUGAAUAAGUUAAACUGAAUAAUAAUUGUAAUUGAUAAUAUAGAUGGGUGAAAUCUCUAUACUAUUAAUUUUUUAAUUAAUUAUAACGUUAAAUCUGUUAAGGCUGUUUAGAAGACAGGGAUUAGAGACCCCUUUAUUAAUGCUUUUCUAUGAAGUUCACGAGUACUACGAGCAAAAGUGCUUAAAAUUCAAUGAGGUUGGCGGUGCUUUAUAUCCAGUUUGGGGAACUUGGCGUUUAAAUCGAUGAUCCUCGAAAAUUGUACCUUUAGUAUUCUUUGUAUACCGCCGUUGAAGUUGAUCUGUUUGAGAAAAGAUUUUAGCAUAAAACAAAAUAAAUUAGUAACGUUUAUUUUGUAAAAAUUCAGGUACACGUGCAGGUUCUAAAGGGAUUAGCUGAGUUACAAUUAUAAAAUAAUGCGAAUUAUUGGUUUAGAAACCGAAUGAAGAUGGACUAAAUAGUAAAAUUUUUUAUAGAAGAAAUUUGAAUAGAGUAAGUAAAGUGCGUACAAAUCGCCCGGCACCCUUGAAUAUUCAAAUUAAGGUAAGUCGUAACAUAGUAAUGCUAACAGAAGUUGGUGUUAAAUUUUA
This is a non-coding RNA of Mercenaria mercenaria, 868 nucleotides long. NCBI's taxonomy places the organism in Eukaryota, Metazoa, Mollusca, Bivalvia, Venerida, Veneridae. The record is from the annotation of a RefSeq genome assembly.